GACGUAGGGCGCGAGCGUUGUCCGGAUUUAUUGGGCGUAAAGAGCUCGUAGGCGGUUUGUCGCGUCUGCUGUGAAAACCUAAGGCUCAACCUUGGGCUUGCAGUGGGUACGGGCAGACUAGAGUGCGGUAGGGGUGACUGGAAUUCCUGGUGUAGCGGUGGAAUGCGCAGAUAUCAGGAGGAACACCCGUGGCGAAGGCGGCUCUCUGGAACGCAACUGACGCUGAGACGCGAAAGCGUGGGGAGCAAACAGG
RNAcentral lists this ribosomal RNA (253 nucleotides) under uncultured bacterium. RNAcentral describes it as "partial 16S ribosomal RNA". It matches the Rfam family "Bacterial small subunit ribosomal RNA", at positions 524 to 776 of the family's 1533-position model. The record is from RNAcentral.